RNAcentral lists this unclassified non-coding RNA (494 nucleotides) under Hevea brasiliensis (rubber tree). The record is from RNAcentral. Lineage: Eukaryota; Viridiplantae; Streptophyta; Magnoliopsida; Malpighiales; Euphorbiaceae.
GCGAAAGUUACGAAAAAAGAAAAGAAAAUGAGGAUAAUGAGAUAGUUGCAGAGAUUGAAGCAAUUUGCUGCAAAUCCAAAUUUUGGUCCCACCAGAAAAAAACGAGAGGCGAUGAGCAGCCAAAUUGCUGAAGCUAACGGCAUAGACAAGCCACACGAUUCUCCUCUCACAUAUCUUAUACGUAUUGAGUAUUGGACAGAUGGCCAUACAAUAACUGAUAUCCACUGCUGUUUCCUGUGAUUUGUAUUCUCUUGUAAGAAAUGGGUUCAAACCCAUUAAUCUUUUUUUCUUUAGAUGAGAAGUUUGUAUAUGUUUUUAAUUCUUCACUCGCAGUAGUGAUUUAAUUUCAAGGAAUUUCCAUGAAGAAUUGGUAUUUAGCUUACCAAAUUGAACUGGGUCUCUUUUAGUUUGGCUUAGUUUUUAAUGUUGCUCUGUAAUUAUAUCAGUGCUACUUGCUUUCUCACAUUAUUAAAAAAAAAAGAAAAAAAUCAUUU